UUCCCGGUAGCUCAGACGGUAAAGCGUCUGCCUACAAUGCGGGAGACCCGGGUUCGAUCCCUGGGUCGGAAA
Molecule: transfer RNA, 72 nt
Filed under: Bos taurus (domestic cattle)
Lineage: Eukaryota; Metazoa; Chordata; Mammalia; Artiodactyla; Bovidae
Also listed under: 2 other names
Rfam family: tRNA
About the family: Transfer RNA (tRNA) molecules are approximately 80 nucleotides in length. Their secondary structure includes four short double-helical elements and three loops (D, anti-codon, and T loops).
Source: Rfam by way of RNAcentral